Molecule: ribosomal RNA, 1015 nt
Filed under: uncultured bacterium
Lineage: Bacteria
Description: bacterial SSU rRNA
Rfam family: Bacterial small subunit ribosomal RNA
Source: RNAcentral
ACUCCAGGAAUAAGGGGGUGCUAAUCACGUGCCAGCAGCCGCGGUAAUACGUGACCCCCGAGCGUUAUCCGGAUUUAUUGGGCGUAAAGCGUCUGUAGGCGAUUUGGAAAGUCUUUGGUUAAAUACCAAGAGCUUAACUUUUGGGCUGCCAGAGAUACUUCCAGAAUAGAGGGCGUUAGAGGCUGAUGGAACGGUCGGUGUAGAGGUGAAAUUCGUNGNUAUCGACCGGAACACCGAAAGCGAAGGCNUUCAGCUGGGGCGACCCUGACGCUGAGAGACGAAAGCGUGGGCAUGGAAAAGGAUUAGAUACCCUUGUACUCCACGCUGUAAACGAUGGACACUGGCUAUUUGAAGUGUCGACCCUUCAAGUGGCGAAGCUAACGCGUUAAGUGUCCCGCCUGGGAAGUACGGCGGCAACGCUAAAACUCAAAGGAAUAGACGGGGACUCACACAAGCGGUGGACCAUGUGGCUUAAUUCGACAACAAGCGAGGAACCUUACCAGGGCUUGACAGGCUAGUGAAAUCCGCCAGAAACGGCGGACUACCCACAAGGACACUAGCCCAGGUGCUGCAUGGUUGUCGUCAGCAUGUGUUUUGAAAUGCACGCUUAAAUGCGGUAACAUGCGCAACCCUUACCCUAUGUUUUAUUUGUCAUAGGGAACUGCCUGGGAUGACCAGGAGGAAGGUGAGGAUGACGCCAAAUCAGCAUGGCCCUUUGAUGCCCUGGGCUGCACACGUGGUACAAUGGGGCUGACAAUGGGUUGCUAAGGGGUAACCUGGAGCUAAUCCCAUCAAACGGUCUCUUAGUUCGGAUUGAGGUCUGCAACUCGACCUCAUGAAGCCGGAAUCGCUAGUAAUCGCCAAUCAGCAACGUGGCGAUGAAUAUGUUCCUGAGUCUUGUACUCACCGCCCGUCACAUUAGGGAAGCCGGCAGUAGCCGAAGUUCCGCUUUGAGCGGACCUAAGCUAAGGUCGGUAACCAGAAUGAAGUCGUAACAAGGUAACCUUAAUUAAAA